This 1338-nucleotide long non-coding RNA is filed under the name Ananas comosus (pineapple). Its description in RNAcentral is "long non-coding RNA (ACOM_LNC025880)". The record is from RNAcentral. Lineage: Eukaryota; Viridiplantae; Streptophyta; Magnoliopsida; Poales; Bromeliaceae.
UCCUAGAAUUCUAGCAAAUGAUUCAAAAUCAACCAUUUUUAAUGAUUGAUAUAUAUUAUUUACAAGUUUAAUAAUGUAGAAGUAUUCAAAUCAGAUAAAAUUUUGAUAGAAAUUUUUUUAUACUAAUUACUGUAAGAUUAAUAUCUUUGAUCGAAAAUUUUAGUGCUAUAUUACCAUCUUUUGUGAUAUUUUUAUUUUCAGCCGUUGAUUUUGAACUCUUUGGAUCGCUAAGUAAAUGAUAUCGAAAAAUCGCAAAAUUUAUUUUUUAUAUAUAUAUAUUUGAGCAGAAUACUAUCGAUAGCAAACGGGUUCCGUUGCCACCCAUUUGUUUUCGAUGAUGGAGCUUCCAAAUCGACGACCGGCACCGUUGAACAUGAUCUAUGCCACUUGAAGUGUUUAGAAAUCAAAUUUCAUACAUUUUCGAUAUUGUUCUCUUAUCCAUCGAGUGGACACAAAAAUGAACGACUGAAAAUGAAUAUUCUUUAAAAAAAUAAUGAUAGAAGUCUUGUAAUCAAGAUCAAGAGUAUAGUUCUUGUUUUAAAUAGUUUAAAAAAUUUUCUAACAAAAAUUCAAAUGAUUUGGAUAUCUUUACGCCGUAAAACGAGAAAACGUCUCAUAUCGACCAUUAAAAUUACAAAUUUUGAAACCUUUGAUCAUUAGGCAAAUGAUAUCGAAAAGAUUUAAAAUUUGAUUUCUAAACAUUUCAAGUGGUAUAGAUCAUAUUCAACGGUGCCGAUCGUCGAUUUGGAGGCUCAAUCAUCGAAAACAAAUGGGUAGCAACGGAGCCCGUUUGCUAUCAAUAGUAUUCUAGCUCAACUAUAUAUAUAUAUAUAUAUAUAUAUAUAUAGAGAGAGAGAGAGAGAGAGAGAGAGAGAGUCCGGCUACUAUACUAUCAGUAGCACGGAGGGCUCCGUGCUACCAAGUUGUUUUCGAUGAUGCGGCUUCCAAAUCGACGAUCGGCUCCGUUAAACUUGAUCUAUAUUAUUGAAAGUAUUUGGAAACUAAAUUUCUGAUUUUUUCAACAUCAUUUGACUAGUGAUCAAAGAUCUCAAAAUUGACAAUUUUAAUGGCCGAUUAGUGGUGUGUUUGUGAGUUUAACGGUGUAAAACAAUCCAAAUCUGAUGAAAAUUUUAUAGAAAAUUCUUUUCACUAUUUAGAGUAAGAUCAGUAUAUCUGAUCUUGAAUUUAAAUCUUUUAUCAUCAUUUUUUAUGAGAUUUUUAUUAUCAGCCGUUCAAUUUUAGACUAUUUGUUUGAUAGGUAAAUGAUAUCGAAAAAUUAUGAAAUUUAGUUUCUAAAUACUUUUAAUAGUGUAGAUCAAGUCUAACGGAGCCGAUCGC